RNAcentral lists this ribosomal RNA (469 nucleotides) under uncultured bacterium. Its description in RNAcentral is "partial 16S ribosomal RNA". It matches the Rfam family "Bacterial small subunit ribosomal RNA", at positions 28 to 507 of the family's 1533-position model. The record is from RNAcentral.
GACGAACGCUGGCGGCGUGCUUAACACAUGCAAGUCGAACGGAAAGGCCCUGCUUGCAGGGUGCUCGAGUGGCGAACGGGUGAGUAACACGUGGGUGAUCUGCCCCUUAUUUUGGGAUAAGCCUGGGAAACUGGGUCUAAUACUGGAUAGGACCAUGCUGUAGGUGGUGUGGUGGAAAGAUUAGUUUCGGUAAGGGAUGAGCUCGCGGCCUAUCAGCUUGUUGGUGGGGUAAUGGCCUACCAAGGCGUCGACGGGUAGCCGGCCUGAGAGGGUGGACGGCCACAUUGGGACUGAGAUACGGCCCAGACUCCUACGGGAGGCAGCAGUGGGGAAUAUUGCACAAUGUGCGCAAGCCUGAUGCAGCGACGCCGCGUGGGGGAUGACGGCCUUCGGGUUGUAAACUCCUUUCAGCCAUGACGAAGCCCUUGUGGUGACGGUAGUGGUAGAAGAAGCACCGGCUAACUACGUG